CCGUGUAAGGUCCGCUUGAGACGAGUAGCGAGACGUAACUUUCAGAAUUAUUUACUUUUUGUUUGGGUGUGUGGUUAUGGUUUCAUAUCAACUCGGUGAGAAAAAUAAGCAAAUAUAUAUUCGUGAAAAAUAGUGCACAACCUCCUUUUGCUCUAGCCAAUUACUUGUAACGGCCCUUUCCGUAUCUUCUGUCCCUGGUAAUCUCCUUCCCGGGUAUGCACAGCAUUCUCCUCCUCCCUGGGCGAAAUCAGUGGAGCCACAACCAGCGUUAUUUGUUGUCACCAUCAACAUAAGCUGAUAGUACUCUUUUCCCCGCCGAUGGGAGCCAAUCAGAAGUACAUUUUGCUUGGAAAGAAAGGCAUUGAUUGCGCAGCUAGAAGCGAUAUGCUAAAAACAUCCUUCUGCACUGUUAUGAUUCGACAGUGAAGCGCGAGCUGGCAACGAAUGCAUUUGUCACCAAAAGAUACGACUUGUUUUGUAAACAAAUUUGUUUUUUCACGAGCAAUGGCCGAACAGCAAUUUUGACAUUGCGGUCCACCUAUAGUACAACGCUUUGAUACGGAGCAAGAAAAGUGAAGUAGAAGGUAAAACGUAAUGUCAGAAUUGCCGUUCGGACCUGUUCGGACGAAUCCCGUAAGUUUGAACUUAUUUACAUAGAUGGUAUCCAAACAACACUAAACAUUGACUACAGUUUCGCUGGCACGGCUGAUUGUCGUUAUGAACCAACACAAAAAACAAAGCUGCAAAUUAUGCGCCAGUGGCGGUACCACGAUCAAAGCACUCCCUGAAUCACAUUAGCCGAGCCAGCUGGCGUAAGCAUAUGCAUAAAGGUUACUAGGUUACUAUUUUCAACGACAACUGUUUAUUUAUUAUACUGCUUCAAAAACCUUCGACGAAAUCAAAUGUAACCAUACCAACUGUAAAUUACGAGCCACCGGUUAACUCCACCAUCUUGAUACGGAGUAACUGCGUUGACGGCAUUGAUGAAUUUACGUUAGAUUUACAACCAGAUGGCGCAGCGAGUAAAAUAGCCGCGCGAGAUAUCUGGUGGAUGAUAAUCCAGACGACCGGAGUUCGAACUCACAUCAGAGCAGUUUUCACCAAACAUCAAUCUGUGCCAUUUUAAACAUUCAUAUUCCACUCCCAAUACAAGU
Molecule: long non-coding RNA, 1154 nt
Organism: Toxorhynchites rutilus septentrionalis
Lineage: Eukaryota; Metazoa; Arthropoda; Insecta; Diptera; Culicidae
Exons: 3
Source: RefSeq, a predicted model, not a curated record